UACGGGGGGGGCAAGCGUUGUUCGGAAUUACUGGGCGUAAAGGGCUCGUAGGUGGCCAACUAAGUCAGACGUGAAAUCCCUCGGCUUAACCGGGGAACUGCGUCUGAUACUGGAUGGCUUGAGUUUGGGAGAGGGAUGCGGAAUUCCAGGCGUAGCGGUGAAAUGCGUAGAUAUCUGGAGGAACACCGGUGGCGAAGGCGGCAUCCUGGACCGGCAUUGACGCUGAGGAGCGAAAGCCAGGGGAGCAAACGGG
RNAcentral lists this ribosomal RNA (253 nucleotides) under uncultured bacterium. RNAcentral's name for it is "partial 16S ribosomal RNA". It matches the Rfam family "Bacterial small subunit ribosomal RNA", at positions 524 to 776 of the family's 1533-position model. The record is from RNAcentral.